Molecule: ribosomal RNA, 494 nt
Filed under: uncultured bacterium
Lineage: Bacteria
Description: partial 16S ribosomal RNA
Rfam family: Bacterial small subunit ribosomal RNA
Source: RNAcentral
GACGAACGCUGGCGGCGUGCUUGACACAUGCAAGUCGAACGGAAAGGCCUGCUUUCCCUUGUGGAUUGCGGGUACUCGAGUGGCGAACGGGUGAGUAACACGUGAGUGAUCUGCCCCCAACUUGGGUAUAAGCCUGGGAAACUGGGUCUAAUUCCCGAUAGGACUGCAGGGUGGUGCCUGUGGUGGAAAACGAUUUUCUAGUGGUUGGGGAUGAGCUCGCGGCCUAUCAGCUUGUUGGUGGGGUAAUGGCCUACCAAGGCGGCGACGGGUAGCCGGCCUGAGAGGGUGGACGGCCACAUUGGGACUGAGAUACGGCCCAGACUCAUACGGGAGGCAGCAGUGGGGAAUAUUGCACAAUGGGCGGAAGCCUGAUGCAGCGACGCCGCGUGGGGGAUGACGGCCUUCGGGUUGUAAACUCCUUUCGACCGCGAGGAAGCCACCUGGUUGGAAGGGUGGUGACGGUAGUGGUAGAAGAAGCACCGGCUAACUACGUG